GACGAACGCUGGCGGCGUGCUUAACACAUGCAAGUCGAACGGAAAGGCCCUGCUUUUGUGGGGUGCUCGAGUGGCGAACGGGUGAGUAACACGUGAGUAACCUGCCCUUGACUUUGGGAUAACUUCAGGAAACUGGGGCUAAUACCGGAUAGGAGCUCCUGCUGCAUGGUGGGGGUUGGAAAGUUUCGGCGGUUGGGGAUGGACUCGCGGCUUAUCAGCUUGUUGGUGGGGUAGUGGCUUACCAAGGCUUUGACGGGUAGCCGGCCUGAGAGGGUGACCGGCCACAUUGGGACUGAGAUACGGCCCAGACUCCUACGGGAGGCAGCAGUGGGGAAUAUUGCACAAUGGGCGGAAGCCUGAUGCAGCAACGCCGCGUGCGGGAUGACGGCCUUCGGGUUGUAAACCGCUUUCGCCUGUGGCGAAGCGUGAGUGGCGGUAAUGGGUAAAGAAGCACCGGCUAACUACGUG
Molecule: ribosomal RNA, 468 nt
Filed under: uncultured bacterium
Lineage: Bacteria
Description: partial 16S ribosomal RNA
Rfam family: Bacterial small subunit ribosomal RNA
Source: RNAcentral